Biomphalaria glabrata is the source of this 878-nucleotide RNA transcript. RefSeq lists it as uncharacterized. The transcript is spliced from 5 exons. NCBI's taxonomy places the organism in Eukaryota, Metazoa, Mollusca, Gastropoda, Planorbidae. The record is from RefSeq and is a predicted model, not a curated record.
CUUCUUCACUUAUACUUUAUAAACAUCAAAAUGUCUCUCUAAAUCUUAAAAAAAAAUCAAUGUGCUUUAGCAUAAUGUAUUUGACAUAACCUUGGCAAUGUUAUAGUAAUAAAUAUUAAUCUUAUACAAAGUUGACAUUUGUUCUGAUAAACCUCAUAAGCCAAUGACUACAGGUGAUAAUGAAUACCACUAUGUAAUCGGUUUAUUUUAUGUCGAUAUGCAAUCAACAAGUUGAAAUUCUACAUCAUGACCUAUACCACCUUAACGCUAACAUUCUUUGUUCUAAUAGCGUUAUACUGGAACGUUGACUCGAUAGAAAAACGGCAAAUGACACGAUUGGAGACCAAAUGCAAACAAAAUAAAAAUUAUACUUAUCUACGUUACAGAAAUGCGGAAAAGUGCAUGAUUUGGAUGGGAAAAGAUUUGUUGUAUUUGGAUGCUGUAAAAUCUUGUCAAGGUUUUUUUCUAACAGGGUGCGCUAUUGGGCACAUUUAAGACACAGUCUGAACUAACAAUACUCCGGCAAUUUGCUAAGGAUACUAUUGUAUGGGUUGGUCUUGAUAAAAUUAAUAAACCUACAUUCACCUGGAUUGACGAUGGAAAACAAGUAACAAAUCUUACGUUCUACUUUCCAGGUAUGUCAGCAUCAACAGACAUGACAGCAAUAUCGGACUGCACUACGUGGAGCAUGAUGGUAUACCAUUUCACCUUUUCAACUGUAUUGUGUUUUAUGGCUGCUCCAUAUAUUUGUGAAAAACGCUAAAAUUAAAAUUGAUCCUUUUCGUUCAAAGAUUAUGAAAAUUAUAAAUAGUAUUUUCCUUACCUAAGAAUUGGUGAUAUUUAAUAAUUAAUAAAGUGUUAUUUUGUUGCUGUUGUUU